Molecule: long non-coding RNA, 540 nt
Organism: Gorilla gorilla gorilla (western lowland gorilla)
Lineage: Eukaryota; Metazoa; Chordata; Mammalia; Primates; Hominidae
Exons: 3
Source: RefSeq, a predicted model, not a curated record
CGCGCCGCCUACCUGCCGGGUACCGCUCGUUGACCGGCCAGCUGUCCACCUGCAGGGUGGCGUUGCCGCCGCUUCGAGUGAAGCGCACCACGUGGUAUUUGCCGUCGCUUACUAUGGCGUUGGGCUCGUCAAUGUAUUCACAGAGCAUCUACUCUGUGCAAGGGCCACUGGGCCCAGACAGGGGUGAUCGAGCCAAGCUGGGGACCAGCUCGGGGCAUGGAGGGCAGAGGCCUCUCUAAGGCAAGAUCAGCAGAGAAGUCCACAGAAGCCGGCCUCUGCCAGAGGAAGAUGGGCGAACUGAGGCUCAGACAGCUGCGGUGACUUGCAUAAAGACAGCAAGGAAGUGGCAAAGUUGGGAUUCAAACCCAGACCAUCUACUGCAAGCCAUGCAGAGCUUCGCAUGAGGGAGAAGAGAGAGAAGGAGCAGCCCUCACUCACAGAGGACACAGGGAAACCCAGUCACACCCCGCCACCCAGAAAGGCAAUUGAAACAACUGCAAACACCACUACAUGGGGAAAUACACAUCUAUAGAUACACUC